This 250-nucleotide ribosomal RNA is filed under the name uncultured bacterium. RNAcentral's name for it is "partial 16S ribosomal RNA". It matches the Rfam family "Bacterial small subunit ribosomal RNA", at positions 525 to 775 of the family's 1533-position model. The record is from RNAcentral.
ACGUAGGUGGCGAGCGUUAUCCGGAAUCAUUGGGCGUAAAGAGGGAGCAGGCGGCCGCAAGGGUCUGUGGUGAAAGACCGAAGCUAAACUUCGGUAAGCCAUGGAAACCGGGCGGCUGGAGUGCGGAAGAGGAUCGUGGAAUUCCAUGUGUAGCGGUGAAAUGCGUAGAUAUAUGGAGGAACACCAGUGGCGAAGGCGACGGUCUGGGCCGCAACUGACGCUCAUUCCCGAAAGCGUGGGGAGCAAAUAG